AUUGAACGCUGGCGGCAGGCCUAACACAUGCAAGUCGAGCGUGCGGCGGACGGGUGAGUAAUGUAUGGGGACUGCCCGAUAGAGGGGGGUAACUACUGGAGACGGUAGCUAAUACCACAUACUAUCUGCUAACCCAUAUGGGAUUAGCUAGUAGGUGAGGUAAUGGCUCACCUAGGCGACGAUCCCUAGCUGGUCUGAGAGGAUGAUCAGCAACACUGGAACUGAUAACCGGCCCAGCUUCCUACGGAGGAAGCAGUGGGGAAUAUUGGAAAAUGGGGGAAAGCUUGAUGCAGCCAUGCCGCGUGUAUGAAGAAGGCCCUAGGGUUGUAAAGUACGUUAAGUCGGGAGGCGGUACCGACAGAAGAAGCCCCGGCUAACUCCGUGCCAGCAGCCGCGGUAAUUC
Molecule: ribosomal RNA, 403 nt
Filed under: uncultured bacterium
Lineage: Bacteria
Description: partial 16S ribosomal RNA
Rfam family: Bacterial small subunit ribosomal RNA
Source: RNAcentral